RNAcentral lists this ribosomal RNA (354 nucleotides) under uncultured eukaryote. RNAcentral describes it as "LSU rRNA". It matches the Rfam family "Bacterial large subunit ribosomal RNA", at positions 2125 to 2478 of the family's 2925-position model. The record is from RNAcentral.
GGGCUUUGUUUGCGCAGGAUAGGUGGGAGGCGUUGAAAGUUUUCUUGCGGGAAGAUUUGAGCCAUUGGUGAGAUACCACUCUAACAAUGCUAGGAUUCUAACCCUAUGUCGUUAUCCGGCUAGGGGACAGUUUCAGGUGGUCAGUUUGACUGGGGCGGUCGCCUCCUAAAAGGUAACGGAGGCGUGCAAAGGUUCCCUCAGGCUGGUUGGAAAUCAGUCGUAGAGUGUAAAGGCAUAAGGGAGCUUGAUUGUGAGACCUACAAGUCGAACAAAGACGAAAGUCGGCCUUAGUGAUCCGGCGGUACCGAGUGGAAGGGCCGUCGCUCAACGGAUAAAAGUUACUCUAGGGAUAAC